RNAcentral lists this small RNA (117 nucleotides) under Macaca mulatta (Rhesus monkey). RNAcentral describes it as "Metazoan signal recognition particle RNA (ENSMMUG00000053281.1)". RNAcentral also lists the same sequence under 1 other name. The record is from Rfam by way of RNAcentral. Lineage: Eukaryota; Metazoa; Chordata; Mammalia; Primates; Cercopithecidae.
GCCGGGUAUGGUGGCUCAUGCCUGUAAUCCCAGCACUUUGGGAGGCUGAGGCAGGUGGAUCACUUGAGGUCAGGAGUUUGAGACCAGCCUGACCAACAUGGUGAAACCCUGUCUCUA